UACGUAGGGGGCAAGCGUUGUCCGGAAUCAUUGGGCGUAAAGAGCGCGUAGGCGGUCCGGUAAGUCCGCUGUGAAAGUCAAGGGCUCAACCCUUGAAUGCCGGUGGAUACUGUCGGGCUAGAGUCCGGAAGAGGCGAGUGGAAUUCCUGGUGUAGCGGUGAAAUGCGCAGAUAUCGGGAGGAACACCUAUGGCGAAGGCAGCUCGCUGGGACGUUACUGACGCUGAGACGCGAAAGCGUGGGGAGCAAACAGG
Molecule: ribosomal RNA, 253 nt
Filed under: uncultured bacterium
Lineage: Bacteria
Description: partial 16S ribosomal RNA
Rfam family: Bacterial small subunit ribosomal RNA
Source: RNAcentral